AGGAGGACUGAGAAGGUUGAGCAGCUUGUGUUGUGCUGUUAUAACUGGUUAUAGCCUCCAAGAGUAUUAAACAAACCACCAAAUUUU
Molecule: small nucleolar RNA, 87 nt
Organism: Scophthalmus maximus (turbot)
Lineage: Eukaryota; Metazoa; Chordata; Actinopteri; Pleuronectiformes; Scophthalmidae
Product: small nucleolar RNA, H/ACA box 47
Source: Ensembl